GAAUUGACGGGGGCCCGCACAAGCAGUGGAGUAUGUGGUUUAAUUCGAAGCAACGCGAAGAACCUUACCAGGGCUUGACAUCCCUCUGACCGUUCUAGAGAUAGGACUUCCCUUCGGGGCAGAGGAGACAGGUGGUGCAUGGUUGUCGUCAGCUCGUGUCGUGAGAUGUUGGGUUAAGUCCCGCAACGAGCGCAACCCCUGUUGUUAGUUGCCAUCAUUAAGUUGGGCACUCUAGCGAGACUGCCGGUGAUAAAUCGGAGGAAGGUGGGGACGACGUCAAAUCAUCAUGCCCCUUAUGUCCUGGGCUACACACGUACUACAAUGGCUAUUACAGAGGGAAGCGAAGCCGCGAGGUGGAGCAAAUCCCCCAAAGAUAGUCCCAGUUCAGAUUGCAGGCUGAAACUCGCCUGCAUGAAGUCGGAAUUGCUAGUAAUGGCAGGUCAGCAUACUGCCGUGAAUACGUUCCCGGGCCUUGUACACACCG
This 484-nucleotide ribosomal RNA is filed under the name uncultured Clostridium sp. Its description in RNAcentral is "bacterial SSU rRNA". It matches the Rfam family "Bacterial small subunit ribosomal RNA", at positions 907 to 1392 of the family's 1533-position model. Lineage: Bacteria; Bacillati; Bacillota; Clostridia; Eubacteriales; Clostridiaceae. The record is from RNAcentral.